GCAAAUUUCUAUCUUCUAACACACACACACACACACACACACACACACACACAAACUGCUUUUAAGAGAAAGUUGUCACUUGAGCAAAAACUUUCAUCUUUAGCUGAUCCAAUGACGGGAAGCUAUUUGGCAUAGACUUAGUAAAACCUUCACGCAAAACCAGCAGAGGAACUGCCAGAGCUUCCAUAUAGGGUGUAACUUGAGGAGUCAUCCUGAUGCUGGAAGAGCCGUCCAGCUUUCCAGAAGGAGGCCAGUAAAAAGCGGGGAGAGAUACUUCUCAAAUCUCAUCAUCAGGCGGCUGAAGAUGACCACAGCCCUAUCAGUGUGCAGAUGGAACGGCAGAUUUUCAACACCGGUUUUUCCUCUUCUUCUUUUUAACUCCCAAUUUGUUUGCUGGUUUCUUUAGUCAAGUUAACUUGGACUAAGGAGACUAGAGAUGCCAGUGACUGUGCAAAAGGGAAACUUGCAACUUACAUAACAAGCAUCAGAACCUUAAAUUUGGGUGGGACAUAGUAAUUACUCGAAUCAUCCACUUUCCUUCAAGUGGGCCCAUCCUUAGGCGGUGAAGGCUUUUCUCCUUACUGUAUAUCUACAUCUCUCUCUCUCUCUCGACAUAUCUUUUCAUACUUUAUAUUUGUAUAUAUCUGUAUAUAUGUGUAUGUGUUUAUCCAUGUGUAUAUUGUGUGUAUGUACAAUUGUAGUAGGCAAUUACAUGGUGGGGGGGGGUGUGCGUCUGUGUAUAUAGUGUAUGUAUAUACAAUUGUGGUAGACAGCUACAGUCAUGGCUUCCAAUGAAGCGUGCCUCCUCUUUCCUGUAUUCAUGCCUUGUGUAGGCCCCACCCACAUUGACUCUGGGCUCAAUGAGACAUAAUCAAGCAUGAUGCAAACAGAGGCUUGAUAACCACUUGCACCUUGGGGCUUAUCAUCUUGCAGUGUUUGCUGUUGGAGCCCUGAGCCACAAUGAAAAGUGGACUAUCUGGCCAGAGAGACUCUUGGAGAGAGAACGAUGCCGAGUCAGCCCUAGCUGUGACAGUCAGACUCUUGGAGGAGCCCCACAUGGGAGUCAAGAAGCACUCCUUAAGUUCAGCCCCUGUCCAGCCACAAGGUCUACCCACAGAAGCAUAAAAACAAUAAAAUGUUGUUUUAAGCUACAAAGUUUGAGUAAAUGGUGUGUCAAACAGUACUAGAUAACUGAAACAACCAUGAGUGUAUCUGUGUGUGACAUCCACUGAAAUUCUCCAACUUUGCUCUUGUAUUUUUGUUUUUAUUUUUUUAAUUAUAGGAUAUUUAAUAAGUAAGACAGAGUAAAUAAACUUUACUUGUACAUUUUAGCAUAAUUAACAAAGAAUUACAAAGCAAAACCUAUGUAAUCGCUACCUAGGUCAAGAAACAGAACACUGCUAGCACCCAAACCCAUCCCACCUCCUCUUUGCGCAUCACAACUGGCCCCCCAUUGGUAAACAUUGACUUGUUUUUUGUGACAUGAAUUGCUUAGCUUUUCCUUAUAGUUUUGCCACUAAAGUAUACAUUCUUAAACAUUAUGGUUCAUGCUUGUAUCAAACUUUCUGUGAACGGAGUCAGUGUGUAUGCAUUCUUUUAAGACUUGCUUCAUUUGCUGAACUUAUGUCUGUGAUACUCAUCCACGUUGUUGCACAUAGCUGUAGUUCAUUCAUUUUCACUGCUUCGUAGGCAUCCAUCAUGGGAACAUAAUACAGGUUAUGUAUCCAUUCCACUCUAAAUGGACGUUUGAAUUCUUUCUAUGAGCAAUUGCUGUUAGGAACAUGCUGUUAGGAAUGCCUUUAUACUUGCAUCCUGGCGGAGGAGUUUCUCUAUGGCAGCAGUUCUCAAAGGGUGACCCAGGGACUCCUGGGGCCCCCCAAGACACUUUCAGGGGUUCUGUGUGUGAAAAAUGAUUGUCAUGAUGAUAUUGGGGUUUUAUUUUUCCUUUCCAGUCUCAAUUUAUCACGAAUAUAGAGUGGAAUUUUCCAGAGACUACAUCAUGUGUGGUACUGCACCAGACCAAAAGCAGCAGCCAAUAUGAAAAUUCAGCUAUCUUCUAGGAGGCCAGACAUUAAAGGGAUUUGCAAAAAUGUAAAAUGAUGCCACUCUUCUCCCUAAAUUUUUUUUGUUUGAAAAUUUCAAUUAUUUUUAUUAAAAAUACCUU
Equus caballus (horse) is the source of this 2164-nucleotide non-coding RNA. Lineage: Eukaryota; Metazoa; Chordata; Mammalia; Perissodactyla; Equidae. The record is from RefSeq and is a predicted model, not a curated record.